UGGGGAAUAUUGGACAAUGGGCGAAAGCCUGAUCCAGCCAUGCCGCGUGUGUGAAGAAGGUCUUCGGAUUGUAAAGCACUUUAAGUUGGGAGGAAGGGCCAUUACCUAAUACGUGAUGGUUUUGACGUUACCGACAGAAUAAGCACCGGCUAACUCUGUGCCAGCAGCCGCGGUAAUACAGAGGGUGCAAGCGUUAAUCGGAAUUACUGGGCGUAAAGCGCGCGUAGGUGGUUUGUUAAGUUGGAUGUGAAAUCCCCGGGCUCAACCUGGGAACUGCAUUCAAAACUGACAAGCUAGAGUAUGGUAGAGGGUGGUGGAAUUUCCUGUGUAGCGGUGAAAUGCGUAGAUAUAGGAAGGAACACCAGUGGCGAAGGCGACCACCUGGACUGAUACUGACACUGAGGUGCGAAAGCGUGGGGAGCAAACAGGAUUAGAUACCCCGGUAGUCCCUGAGCGGGCUGGCAAGGCGCAU
This 472-nucleotide ribosomal RNA is filed under the name uncultured bacterium. RNAcentral's name for it is "bacterial SSU rRNA". It matches the Rfam family "Bacterial small subunit ribosomal RNA", at positions 355 to 825 of the family's 1533-position model. The record is from RNAcentral.